UUGAGCUUAAUAUUUCGAGUCAGCUCGAACUCGACUUAUGAGCGGCUCGGUUCGUUUGCAACCCUAUCCGAAACACAAAAAAGAGUAAAGUGGAGAAGUAGUACCACCAACAAACCCUGCGUUGGUUGGGCCUCUCCCUUAAGUCCUUUUCACCUUAAAACCUUUCUUCAGAGAACGAGUGUUGGACCAACGUCAUCAUCGUCCACCACCACCCUCCUCAUCUCUCGUCUCUCUAAACAUUUUCCGAGCUCCCCCAUUUCCCUCAAAAUCAAAGGGAGGAUAAAUGUAAUUAACCCUAUUUUAAGCGAACUGAACAAAGUCACCCACUCCAACCCCAUCGCCCCUGCUUGCUGACCAACUCAGCCAACCACUUCCCUCCCUGGCUCCACCCAUUUUCAGUUUCCUCCGCCGCCAAGCUGCCGAGCCCCUCUCCUUCUCCGUUUGACUGGAACGCAAGGCCGAUAGAACGAGCGAACUCGCCAAUCUACAGGGGCACAUGUACGGAAUCCGUACCUGAUAUGGUCAAAAAUUUUUGGAUACAUGGACUGUUGCAAGAUUUGUGAGAUCUGAUGUUGAUGGCAGAGGAGGAGGAGAGCUGGACAAGAAGUCUCAUGAGAUGGGAAGAGAAUGGAAGAGGAAGAAUGGUUGCUCUAUGGAGGAGAAAGAAAGGAGAAAGCUGCUAUAAAUUUGAAAAGAAAAAUACUCAUGACAUCUGCUGUAUUUUCACUUCAUCUGUACAGGCUGCUGAUUCUCUCUCACUGAAGGAAGAUACGGAAUUGUGGUAAUGAUGGUGUUUAAGAGUAAAAGUGGCUCUAUUAGUUUGAGAAGAGAUGUUCUGUUUUGAUUCAUUUGAACCCACUGUAAAUGAGGUGAUGACAGCUCUAAAUGGGGGAUGAGGAAGAUAGGGUUUGACAAUGAUAGUUAUUUUGCAACUAAAACGCUGUAUUUUGACUUUAACUUUCCUUUUGAACAAGUGACUUAAUUUCUUUACAAUUUUACCCUUUUUAAUAUAGAUUCAGUCCCUCACAAUUAAAAAAUUUUACCUUUCUCUAACCAAGCUUAUGGUUCUUUUCAAACUAGUUGCACACUUCAUUGAAAUUUUUAUUAAAAUACGCUUUAUAUAUCAUUGUACAUAAAUUUUAGAAUGAUUUAUUUCUAAAGAUCUUAUCCAUCUACAAGUUUAAGAAGCGCACCCCUGCACCCAUACCUAAAAUUGGUCACAUAUCCCUGGAUCCUAUAAUUUUUAAAUAUGCGAAUCCGACACUUCAACAUGCACCUGUAUCUGACACCAAUACCCGAGUCCAUAUAACAUAUAUUUUCUCUUGAAUAGAUGUAUAUAAUGCAGAGCCAAAUUUUAGAAAAGGAAAGCAAGUCUUAAUUUGUUCACAACAAUAUUGAUUCUAGCAUGCUUAAUAAUGCAUCCAUCACCAAAAUGUCUAACACAGAAAUGAGUAAUGACUAUUCAUAUGAACUAGUCAACAGAAACCGCAUCUCCAGAUUCCUUGUCCAGGCAACUCGCUCAAUACUUCAAGGUAUAAUCAUGUAAUCCAUGAUUGCAUUUGACAAGACGCAUACCUCUCUUUCCCUUUUAUCACUUCCUUUUCUCUUUGUUUGGUGUGGAAUGCUCUAGGCAGUAGGGCCCCUUUGAAAAUAAGGCACUUAGGCAUAAAAUAAUGCAUUAGAUGCAACAUAUAGUCAUCAAGCAAAUUUUAGCUGAUUAAGCUUUGUUAACCUAUCAUAUGAACAACUAAUUCUGUAAGUCUCAAAAAAUAAGUAGUACCAGCCAUUUGUCUAGAGCUGUGCUAAAAAGGCUACCACGUAAGAUUAACACCAACAAGAUAGGCAUCUUUCACCUUUAUCUCCCUAAAAGGUAAAUCACAUACUGAUACCACAAGCAAACUUCUACUCCAACCAAUGGUCAAGUUUAUGGUCAAUGGCAAAAAAGGAGAAGUAUCUUAACCAGCAAACAGAACUGAUUAAAUAUCAGAAAUGUAAUAGAGAGUAUGUACUCCUACUUCUUAUUAUAGAAAUUAAAGAAUCUAGGCACAGUAAAUUGCAAAGGCCUUGUGGAGCUUAAUGCAAUGCCUGAAGUGGAGUGCUGGUCAGUUGAAACAAAGCGCAGAGUUGCUUAUGCUGUAAAUUAUUUUCAACUAAUGUCAUAAUGCACCAGUAUGCUGUGAAUUUGUAAUUACAUAGCCCUACAUGAAAGCUUAUAUCUUCAAAGGCAUAAAACACUACAUCAAAGUACUUUCAACCCAAAAAAAUCCUAUUUACUUUAUCAUGCCUUCGAUGACAAUUCCACAAUUUCUAUAAAAUCAUACCCCUCACAUACGGAAUAACAUUAAAAAUGAGGAACAGUAAAAGUUUGACAAAGAUCUUUCUUUUCAUCAUAUCUUUAAUAAAGCAACAACGAGAACAUGAACCUUGUUAUUAAUAUCUUAAAGCAUUACACACAGCAAAUCACAUCCUCCAUUGCAGUUAUCAUGAUGUUCAGAAAUUUUGAACCGAAAAGACUCUUAAAAAGGAAUUAUGUAUAUAUAGUAAAAUUUGAGAUAUCCAAUAUUGCAAAACUGGGAAGCACAUGAAAAUAAACACAAAAUAAAAUUUUCACAUAAUUUCCUUUAUUGAAAACCAUAUGAACAUCAACUUUUAGAGGUAAGAACUUCUGUAUCUAAAAGAAAUCUAUUCAGGACAUCUGGAAAUCUAAUGAAGCUUGUAGAUCUACUAAAAUCAAGAAUAGAUGUACAUAAAUGUAGUCAAUCCACAAUUAGAAAUAUAAUAACACCACAUAAACACUUGGAGCAGGCAGCCAUUAAUACUUACAUCUCAUAAAUGAAUAACUGACGCUCUCAUAUCCCAAAAUCACUUUACUACAAGAAUGUUCCACAUGAUCUGCUAACCUUACACAAAUUCCAUGGUGCAAAAGCAAUUUCUACCAGCUCAGAUUGUGAGCAUCAAUAGCAUAACUUC
Molecule: long non-coding RNA, 2970 nt
Organism: Coffea arabica (coffee)
Lineage: Eukaryota; Viridiplantae; Streptophyta; Magnoliopsida; Gentianales; Rubiaceae
Source: RefSeq, a predicted model, not a curated record